This 1385-nucleotide ribosomal RNA is filed under the name uncultured bacterium. RNAcentral describes it as "16S ribosomal RNA". It matches the Rfam family "Bacterial small subunit ribosomal RNA". The record is from RNAcentral.
UUCGCCCUUAGAGUUUGAUCCUGGCUCAGGACGAACGCUGGCGGCGUGCCUAACCCAUGCAAGUCGAACGAGCAGAGAUUUUCGGAUCGAAGCGAGUGGCGGACGGGUGAGUAACGCGUGAACAACCAACCCUAUACAGGGGGACAACAGUUGGAAACGACUGCUAAUACCGCAUAAGACCACAGGGCCGCAUGACCCAGGGGUCAAAGGAGGAAUCCGGUAUAGGACGGGUUCGCGUCCCAUUAGCUAGUAGGCGGGGUAACAGCCCACCUAGGCAACGAUGGGUAGCCGAGCUGAGAGGCUGAACGGCCACACUGGGACUGAGAUACGGCCCAGACUCCUACGGGAGGCAGCAGGGGGGAAUAUUGGGCAAUGGGGGAAACCCUGACCCAGCAACGCCGCGUGAAGGAAGAAGGCCUUCGGGUUGUAAACUUCUGUGACAGGGGACGAAGGAAGUGACGGUACCCUGAGAGGAAGCCCCGGCUAACUACGUGCCAGCAGCCGCGGUAAUACGUAGGGGGCGAGCGUUGUCCGGAAUUACUGGGCGUAAAGGGUGCGUAGGCGGAAUUGCAAGUCAGAUGUGAAAUACCCGGGCUUAACCCGGGGGCUGCAUUUGAAACUGCAAUCCUUGAGUGCAGGAGAGGCAAGUGGAAUUCCUAGUGUAGCGGUGAAAUGCGUAGAUAUUAGGAGGAACACCGGUGGCGAAGGCGACUUGCUGGACUGUAACUGACGCUGAGGCACGAAAGCGUGGGGAGCAAACAGGAUUAGAUACCCUGGUAGUCCACGCUGUAAACGAUGGAUACUAGGUGUGGGUGUCGAUAGGCAUCUGUGCCGUAGCAAACGCAAUAAGUAUCCCGCCUGGGGAGUACGAUCGCAAGGUUGAAACUCAAAGGAAUUGACGGGGGCCCGCACAAGCGGAGGAGCAUGUGGUUUAAUUCGAAGCAACGCGAAGAACCUUACCAAAUCUUGACAUCCCGAUGCAAAGCUAUGUAAUGUAGCUCCUUCUUCGGAACAUCGGUGACAGGUGGUGCAUGGUUGUCGUCAGCUCGUGUCGUGAGAUGUUGGGUUAAGUCCCGCAACGAGCGCAACCCUUAUCUUUAGUAGCUAGCAGUUCGGCUGAGCACUCUAGAGAGACUGCCAGGGUUAACCUGGAGGAAGGUGGGGAUGACGUCAAAUCAUCAUGCCCCUUAUGAUUUGGGCUACACACGUGCUACAAUGGCGUAAACAAAGGGAAGCGACCCUGUGAAGGUAAGCAAAUCCCAAAAAUAACGUCUCAGUUCGGAUUGUAGUCUGCAACUCGACUACAUGAAGCUGGAAUCGCUAGUAAUCGCAGAUCAGAAUGCUGCGGUGAAUACGUUCCCGGGUCUUGUACACACCGCCCGUCA